Molecule: ribosomal RNA, 449 nt
Filed under: uncultured Bifidobacterium sp.
Lineage: Bacteria; Bacillati; Actinomycetota; Actinomycetes; Bifidobacteriales; Bifidobacteriaceae
Description: bacterial SSU rRNA
Rfam family: Bacterial small subunit ribosomal RNA
Source: RNAcentral
CUCCAGUUGAUCGCAUGGUCUUCUGGGAAAGCUUUCGCGGUAUGGGAUGGGGUCGCGUCCUAUCAGCUUGACGGCGGGGUAACGGCCCACCGUGGCUUCGACGGGUAGCCGGCCUGAGAGGGCGACCGGCCACAUUGGGACUGAGAUACGGCCCAGACUCCUACGGGAGGCAGCAGUGGGGAAUAUUGCACAAUGGGCGCAAGCCUGAUGCAGCGACGCCGCGUGAGGGAUGGAGGCCUUCGGGUUGUAAACCUCUUUUAUCGGGGAGCAAGCGAGAGUGAGUUUACCCGUUGAAUAAGCACCGGCUAACUACGUGCCAGCAGCCGCGGUAAUACGUAGGGUGCAAGCGUUAUCCGGAAUUACUGGGCGUAAAGGGCUCGUAGGCGGUUCGUCGCGUCCGGUGUGAAAGUCCAUCGCUUAACGGUGGAUCCGCGCCGGGUACGGGCGGG